CUACAUAUCACUGAGCAGUCAGAAGUGUUUGAGGCUCCUGCAUUGUGCUAUAGAAACAUGCCUGCUGUCAUCACCACCGCUGUUGGUCAAAUGGCAGUUGCUAAGGGAAGACAAGGGAGGGAAGCACAGAACUUGGUUAAGGUGUACCUGGCAAACAUUCGCCUUGAGGAAGUUGAGACGGAUGU
Long non-coding RNA from Solanum tuberosum (potato), 185 nucleotides. RefSeq lists it as uncharacterized. The record is from RefSeq and is a predicted model, not a curated record. The transcript is spliced from 3 exons. NCBI's taxonomy places the organism in Eukaryota, Viridiplantae, Streptophyta, Magnoliopsida, Solanales, Solanaceae.